Molecule: long non-coding RNA, 4411 nt
Filed under: Ooceraea biroi (clonal raider ant)
Lineage: Eukaryota; Metazoa; Arthropoda; Insecta; Hymenoptera; Formicidae
Description: uncharacterized LOC105277487
Source: RNAcentral
CUGACGUAGUUUCCGUCCGCGUAGAGCGAUUCGUGCUGUUUCGAAUACGAGAAAUGUGAAAUCUCGCAAAAUAGUGUAAAGUGAAAGUGAUUUUCCACGAUUUUUCGUCUCUCAUAUAGUGCUGGAUGUCAUUUCAACCUGCAGUACAUCGGUUCGCCAAGUACAUCACGUAAAAGAUCAAUAUUACGAGAUACGUGUAUAUCAUUGCACUUUGGUGAUGGCCCGUCAGAGAAUAAUUGCAGCGAGGUUUUCGAAGCGAGUUCGAAGUGAUCAGUAAUUCAGCGAGUUUAACAAACACCACAUUGAGAAUUCAUACGGACGUAGUGAAAGAACAGUUAAAGAAAAGUGAAAGAAGACCAGCAGAGAAAGUACGGUUAGCAAACCGCCGCACUGGGAACCCGGUCUUUCAUUACACGUAGAUUCGCCAUUCGAGAUUCAUCGUUUCCUCAACGUCUCGUCGUUCCAGGUUCCAUCUCCCGGAAGUCAACGCGCACAGGUAAUCAGUUGAAUGCGUCGAGGUUAUUUAAUGGAACAGUAAUUGUCAUGGAGUUCUACACUAACUGUUUGCACUCACAGUGGUGUGCAAAUUGCACUUUUUUUGUUAAGAGUACUCGAGUUUUUGGUAACACCAACUUUAAUUCUGAUUACAUUUUAAACAGUUUUGAUGAAGGAAUUAUCUGACGAAAAUCUGAUAAUUCUUUAACCAUCAUUUUUCUUCGAAUAUUGUUUCUCGAUAAAUUGAUAUCCGGAUGUUGGAAAAUUUGAUAUGAUUUUCAAGGGAUAUUUAAUUUUAAUACAGUAUUCGAUUACGGUGUUCGUUGUGGAACGUGUCGCAUUACUUCGGUAGACAUCUGGCAUAUCUGUCGUGUCCUCUGCACUCAGUGUUGAUCGGAUUGUCAAAACUAGGUCAAAUCUUCUUGCAUAUAGUAUGUCAUCGUGACGCGAAUCGGUGAAGAUCAAAAUUUCAAAUCGAAAUAUACAUGAUAUCUAUACGUUAUGUGGAGCACACUGCAUUAUUCCACUUAUGAAUCGAUACGAUCACAGCGAUUCGGUAACUAUCCCUCUCCCACGCACUAACGACUCGUUGUCGUUAUCGCAAUCUCUAAGCCUGCAUUGAGCGUGGGCAAACUUCACAUAACAAAGUUUGGCUGAAUCUAAACUAGCGUAAGUUAUGUGACCUCAUAUCGGUCACUAUUGGAAACUCGGUUACGCAUUCAACUUCGCGACAGUUGCGAGUCUCAGUAGUAACUUUUGUCCAAAAUAAUGUGUUCCAAUACGAUUCCACAGAAUGUACUGUUUUGCAUUUUUUCCCCAAAAAAUGCAUUUUUUACAAUAUCAUAUUUCUCGAAACAAACGUAUCUCCGAAAUGAAAACUUUCGUUUCAUUUAAAUUAGUUUUUAUUUUUGUAGUUUUUAACAUGUAUCAUGUGUAAUACAACAAGUUAGUUAACAGAAAGAAAAAGCACAUGCAAUAUUUUCGUGUCAAUCAAUAUCUCGAAAUAAAAAAUUUAUUUAAUUUUAAGAGACAUAUCGGUUUGUCACGUAUUAUAUUUUUUAUAGUAUCUGUCUAUUUCAGUAAGCGUUAUGGCAAAUUGUUUACGUUAAUCUAAAUAAUAAAUACAUUGUGCAAGAGAGAAAUAUUGAUCGACGUUUUAAUCCUCGAAAGCUACAGUGUCGUUACUAGCAAUCGUAUAAUCGUACAUCACGAGUAUCGAGUAUGUCUACCCACACAUUAUGUACUUUGCAGUGUCUCCUUUACCGUCGAGGGUAACAUUUCCUAUUGUCUCACCAAAUUCAUCCGUUCUGUGCGCAGACCAUGUUAAUUAGACCAUCCUGUAGAACGUUUCUAACCGUUGAUUUUGGUGACGUUGGAAAACGAAGUGUAAAUUAAGGAGAGAGAGAGAGAGAAAGACAGUAAGAGAAACCGAGAAUACUGCGACGAAAGAUGUUCACAAUACAGCUGGAAAUAGUCACGUUGUUACGCUUUGCGGUCAUUUUAUCAAAUAUUCGUGAAUUAUUAAUAAUUAGUUAUCUUUCCAAAGUAUUAUUUAAUUAAAUUCUUCAAAACACUGCUUUACGAUAUUUUAAUUGUGCGAAUUUGAAAACAGGUAUUGAACAAUUGAUCGCACUUAUUUAUGAUGCUCUGAAUUAGAUACGUUUCGAAAAAAUGUUAUAUCUCUCGAUAUAUUUCCGAAAUACGAAAUGUCAUUUAAAUUUAUGUAAUGUAAUAUUAUACUUUUCUCUAUCUUCCUCUUUACUUUUUUCUCUUCUUCUCUCUCAAUUUAAUUGUUUUGCUAAUUUAUCACUUAAAUCCCAUGCUGCGUACUGCAGCUUCGUGAAUAUGUAUAAUAAAGAAUUCGUUAUUUUGAGAUUGCUCCUUAAUCCUUGUCUGCGUAUUUAAGACAUUAAAAAUUAAUGAAGAAAUAGAGCGUUUGCAGACUUGUCUCCCGCUUCUUUCAUAAUUCCGUCUGCAAGGCGACUACGCGAUGGAAAAGAGAGAAGAGCUUCUCGACUAAGUCCAUUCAGAGAAGCUUUAUGAAGCGUUUCUUUAUCCGUGCUUGCGCAAUGUGCACAAAAGCAAUGUCGGAUUUACAACAGCUUUGAAGACUACGGCUAUCAAUAAUAAAAUUUUGCCUAAGGCUUCGGCUCGCGCGCGAGCGGUAGUGUAACAGUAUUCCUUUGAAAAGCACAUCUAUUGUUAAAUCUGUCAGUCGACAUCGCGCGAUACAUCGGCUGGGAUAUUCACGCGCGAGCUCGCGAUUAAUGCGUUAACCGCAUUUGAGCGUGACGAGUUGCGUGCGAAACGAAGGGAGAAAUUUAUCCAGAAAGUACGCACGCGUGCUUCUAUCUCUGGCGCAACAGAAUUUUAUUUCUAGAUCGUGCGGUCCGUAUUAUAUGAGAAAACUGUCUGAUUUGAAGGACAAAGGUCUACGAUUUUUUUAUCCUUUACGCACGGCGCAGCGGUGCGUGCGCCUGUCAGCAUCCUCCGGCUCGUCGCGAGGGAUCGAUCUCGUAACAGACGAGAGAGAGAGUUCGACUCGUGGUGUGUGAUUAAUUUACGCGACACUCUCGGAGAAUGCGCAAUCUAUUAAUAUAAUCAUUAAGCAGGCCGUUCAGCACACUUGACAGUGCUGCGAGCUCGCAAUUAACAGCAUACACGAGACGAACGGGGCCACGGUUGACACGCUUACAAAUUAACGUGUCAGCCGGGCGCCGAGAAAUGCGGCCCCGACGCAAGCAAAAUGGAAUCGCGUGCAUGGCACGUGACAUACAAAAAUUUUCAGCGAUGCAUAACGCCAGGUUGUUACGGAUACCGUAUAUUUUAAGGGACAUGGGAGAAUAAUGCAACGGCAUUUCAUACACGUCGAUACCGAGCGCCCGGGAAUAAAAUGCGUACAUCGGCUACAUCGCCACGAUCGCAGUUGCAGUUUUCCGAGUUUCCGAGCGCGCGGUAUUGCGGUGCGUUCGAUUGAAUACGAAUAACUCGCGUUAUAGAAAUUCGAUACCGAUUUUCGUCAUACGAUAAUGGCGGAGAGAAGGGUUUAAAUUUCCUGGAGGUGGAUGGAACGGUCUUCCUCGUCGCGCGAGCGGCAGCAACGCCGACAAAUAGCACGACAAAGACGCAAAUUUGCAUGCUCGCCAGGGAUGAGCGCGACUACGCUGCUUCACGCGCAUUUCUUUCUGACGCUCGCGGCUUUCUUCAUCGAUGGUGCUCGAAAAACGUAUAAAUGCUAGUAACAUUAUGUCGUUUUUGUCUAGUCUCUUUUCCUCGUACAAAUGACUUACGUUCAGAUAUCUCUGCUUCUGCUUUGAGUCAAUUUUAAAAAUUUCAUAUAGUUGCAUUUAUUGCGUUGUUUCUAUUUUUACGAGAUAUUAUUUUUUCUUUUAUAGCUUCUCUUUACUAUCAGCUCGCAGAAUAUAUUCAGCAACAGUGCACUUUUAUGGAAUUCUGGUAAUUGAACAAACGCAUUAUUCUCGAAUAACAUUCUGCAGAAUACUUGGGAUUGGAAUUUAUGCGAAUCCGUGCAUAUAUGCGAGUAAUAAGCUAAUUUAACGGUAUCAAAAAAUAGUUGGCAAACAGCGUCAAUAAAAAUUGGAUAAAUGGAAUGAAUGGUUUAACGAAUGCGACUUCAUUAUUUUCGCAGAGAGAAAGCGACGAAAACCAAUACAAUUACGUGCAUCGGCAUGUAACGAUGUUCCAAUAACUCGAUCAAAAACCAGGAUAUAGGACUUUGCCAUGGCGUAAUAACAUUAACAUUAUAAUUGCUUCGGUCCCACUUCUUUAGAUCCAAUUUCUUGUAUCAUAAAACUAAAGACGAAGUAUUCUGUUUUGAUUACGAUACAGUUUCGUAUCUAAACAAUUAUGAAAUUAUGGAAGAAUUGGAAAGACGCUGUCACAUUUAUCAGAAAAA